Molecule: small RNA, 222 nt
Filed under: Arabidopsis thaliana (thale cress)
Lineage: Eukaryota; Viridiplantae; Streptophyta; Magnoliopsida; Brassicales; Brassicaceae
Description: ATSL176580
Source: RNAcentral
AAUGGCUUCAUCAGAUAGUCGAUGUGGAUUUGUCCGUUCCCAUAUGAUUCGUUCCCUUGAAGCAAUAUUAAUCGUGUUGCUCUCGUUCUCUAAAUUGCUCUCUAAUCAUCAAAGUAAUCAUACGGUUAAUUCUAGUAUGAUACCGAUUAGUGAGCAUAACUUGAGCAGCUACAUAAUCUUCUCUUACGAGGGUUUUGUUUUGUCUUAAUUCUUGUUUUGUUG